GAUGAACGCUGGCGGCGUGCUUAACACAUGCAAGUCGAACGAUGAAGCCCAGCUUGCUGGGUGGAUUAGUGGCGAACGGGUGAGUAACACGUGAGCAACCUGCCCUUAACUCUGGGAUAAGCCUGGGAAACUGGGUCUAAUACCGGAUAGGAGCGUCCACCGCAUGGUGGGUGUUGGAAAGAUUUAUCGGUUUUGGAUGGACUCGCGGCCUAUCAGCUUGUUGGUGAGGUAAUGGCUCACCAAGGCGACGACGGGUAGCCGGCCUGAGAGGGUGACCGGCCACACUGGGACUGAGACACGGCCCAGACUCCUACGGGAGGCAGCAGUGGGGAAUAUUGCACAAUGGGCGCAAGCCUGAUGCAGCGACGCCGCGUGAGGGAUGACGGCCUUCGGGUUGUAAACCUCUUUCAGUAGGGAAGAAGCGAAAGUGACGGUACCUGCAGAAGAAGCACCGGCUAACUACGUG
This 466-nucleotide ribosomal RNA is filed under the name uncultured bacterium. RNAcentral describes it as "partial 16S ribosomal RNA". It matches the Rfam family "Bacterial small subunit ribosomal RNA", at positions 28 to 507 of the family's 1533-position model. The record is from RNAcentral.